This 63-nucleotide transfer RNA is filed under the name Salmonella enterica subsp. enterica serovar Enteritidis str. SA20100239. Its description in RNAcentral is "tRNA-Ala (GGC) (tRNA-Ala-GGC-2-1)". It matches the Rfam family "tRNA", at positions 14 to 71 of the family's 71-position model. Rfam says of the family: Transfer RNA (tRNA) molecules are approximately 80 nucleotides in length. Lineage: Bacteria; Pseudomonadati; Pseudomonadota; Gammaproteobacteria; Enterobacterales; Enterobacteriaceae. The record is from RNAcentral.
NNCUGGGAGAGCGCUUGCAUGGCAUGCAAGAGGUCAGCGGUUCGAUCCCGCUUAGCUCCACCA